ACAUUGUAACUGGCUAAUGAGCAAGAAAUUGUUGCAAGGAAGAUGUCUUUAGAAGGUGAUUAGGCCAUGAGGGCUCUGCCCUCUGGAUUUGUGCAUUAUUUCGGAGGCCGAGGUGGGCAGAUCACCUGAGGUCAGGAGUUUAAGACCAGCCUGGCCAACAUGGUAAAACCCCAUCUCUAUUAAAGUAAUAAAAUUUUAGGGUUCUCCAAAGAAACAGAACCAAUAGGAUAUGUUAUGAGGUUAUCACAAGUUUACUGAACUUUAAGCAGUAAGUCUCCCACAGCAUCUAACAGAAUAUCUCAUACAUAUAGCAAACCCUCCAUAUGUGUUAAAUUAUCAAAAUAAAAUUUCAAAACCUAAUGCCAUUUUCCUAUCACUUGAUACCACUUCCUAUAAUUUAAUAUUCACUCACAUUUAAAACAAUAACAGCAAUAACACAAUUUAUAAAUAUCCUUGGAGCUACAUUAAAAGCCACUUACAUUCUAUUACAACAUCCAAUGAUUAUUGAAUAGCCAAAGGUGCCUAACAGAUUAAGUUGUUAUAAUUAUAGAAGGCAAGUAUCUUGCAACUGAUUACAUUAAUUUCUAUUUCCCAGUGCUGCUCUUUUCCAAAAUAUUUCUGGGAAAUCUUAAAUAGCUUUUCUCUUCUUGCCUGAAUAUGUAAAAUUAUUUCUAAUACUUUUAAUCCUGAGGAUUUAUAACCAAACAUUUUGAUCCUUUUUAACAUAGAAACAUGUGGCUUUAAAUUCACAAUUUGUCAGCAGAGUGUUCAUAAUGAAACUUCUCACAAAUUUGUAAAAGAAGGCGCUAAUGUAAACAUAUUAGUUGUCAGGUCAGAUUAGUAGCUCUGGUUGUUACGAAUAAUACAGUAGGUUAAGCAAUCCUAAAAUAAAUAUACUUCUAAAUUUUGAACAUUUUUCCUCUUCCUUUCACAGAUUUUCAUAAUUUGUUCACUGGUGUAUGGCUCCUACUACUACUGCCCAAGAUAUUUCACAUUUAGUCUUCAUCAAGAUGAAAUUUAGAUUUUUCAAAAACAAUGACCAGUAUAUGUUUUUGAUCUAAUUUACCAAAUGAUUAUACACUAAUUUGAUAGUGGAGAUGAUACAUGAGUAAAAUAUUGUUAAAAUACAAUGUAUAGAAUAGAUGUGUUUAUAAUUAAAAUCUUUUUUUUUUUUUGAGGUGGAGUUUCACUCUUGUUGCCCAGGCUGGAGUGCAAUGGUGCAAGCUCGGCUCACUGCAACCU
Molecule: long non-coding RNA, 1242 nt
Filed under: Homo sapiens (human)
Lineage: Eukaryota; Metazoa; Chordata; Mammalia; Primates; Hominidae
Description: HSALNT0210234
Source: RNAcentral